AUUGAACGCUGGCGGCAGGCCUAACACAUGCAAGUCGAGCGGAUGAAGGGAGCUUGCUCCUGGAUUCAGCGGCGGACGGGUGAGUAAUGCCUAGGAAUCUGCCUGGUAGUGGGGGAUAACGUCCGGAAACGGGCGCUAAUACCGCAUACGUCCUGAGGGAGAAAGUGGGGGAUCUUCGGACCUCACGCUAUCAGAUGAGCCUAGGUCGGAUUAGCUAGUUGGUGGGGUAAAGGCCUACCAAGGCGACGAUCCGUAACUGGUCUGAGAGGAUGAUCAGUCACACUGGAACUGAGAAACGGUCCAGACUCCUACGGGAGGCAGCAGUGGGGAAUAUUGGACAAGGGGCGAAAGCCUGAUCCAGCCAUGCCGCGUGUGUGAAGAAGGUCUUCGGAUUGUAAAGCACUUUAAGUUGGGAGGAAGGGCAGUAAGUUAAUACCUUGCUGUUUUGACGUUACCAACAGAAUAAGCACCGGCUAACUUCGUGC
Molecule: ribosomal RNA, 485 nt
Filed under: uncultured bacterium
Lineage: Bacteria
Description: partial 16S ribosomal RNA
Rfam family: Bacterial small subunit ribosomal RNA
Source: RNAcentral